UCACAAUAAACAUGUGAACUUAUGAGUGAAAGCUUUCACAGCUGUCUUAAGCUUUAUAACGGGACUUUUUUCGUGUUGUUUACAUGCAUCAUGCAUUCGCGCGUAAUAAUUUUGGUGUGCUUCGUGUUGCAAUUUGGUUAUCAAUAAAAGUGAAAUAACUUCAAAAUCAGCCAAAUAAAAUUUAUUGUUCUUGAAGACUUUCGAUCGAAAUGGCAGAGCGAAUGCGUAGACGUUUUAAAUUGUCCGAGUUGACCGAUGAACAAUUGCUUGACUUGUUCAAUGAUGUUGAGACGGACGAGAAACUCUUGAAUAACUCUAGUGAUGACGAUGAAGACAGCUUGGAUUUGGAAGAAUCAUUAACACGGCAUUGGAGGACGCCGAAACUAUUUCAUUUAUCGACAAUAACGCUGAUAAUGUCAAAGAUAAUGUACAGGAGCUGGAAAUUACCAAAAAUCCUGCAAAGAGACCUCGUUCACCACUGCCGAUAAAGGAAUAUUCAGUGUGUACAUCUGAGCCUUUUUCUGGUGGUUUCAAUUGUGCCGAUGUUGAAUCAAUAAACAAGGUGCCGACAAAGGUAACAUGGCGGCAGCAAUCGAUACAGGUGCAUGUAAACGAUAUAGCUUUUCGGGGAAUUCUUCACUCCCAGAUUGUAUAAAGGAACUUAAACACCGAUGCAGAUUUUCUGUUACUUCUUCGAUUCAGAGAUUAUGAAUAUGAUUGAUGAAUAAACCAUUCGGUCAGCAUUGACGAUAUCCAUCACUACA
Drosophila kikkawai is the source of this 764-nucleotide long non-coding RNA. RefSeq lists it as uncharacterized. NCBI's taxonomy places the organism in Eukaryota, Metazoa, Arthropoda, Insecta, Diptera, Drosophilidae. The record is from RefSeq and is a predicted model, not a curated record.